Molecule: long non-coding RNA, 5760 nt
Filed under: Malus domestica (apple)
Lineage: Eukaryota; Viridiplantae; Streptophyta; Magnoliopsida; Rosales; Rosaceae
Description: long non-coding RNA (MDOM_LNC006136)
Source: RNAcentral
CCCUGUGCUAAAUAGCCAAAGGAAACAUACUCCAGGCCCUAUGCCAACACCAAACCGUCGCCCGGGACGGACCGGAAUCUAUCCCUACGUCCCGUAGCGGAAAGGACCACUAGGUAAGUACAAAACCACUGAACAUAUUUAUAUUGAAAAACAACUUCGUAGUAUAAAGUCAUCCAUCAUCUAUACUACAAAGAGGUGUUCUAAACAUGUUCUAAAUAUCAUAUCGUCAUCCAUCGGAUAUUCUAUAAGGACAUGGGUUAUAGGAAAAAUAGUAAUAAUUCAAUCUAGCCUCAGUAAGCAUACUAUCUCAUAAAGUACUUCAUAAAACAUAAGUAUUAAAUCAUGCUUUUCAUGUAUGCAUUUCUAUUAAUAAAACAUGCAUUUUUAGAAGGGGUCCACUCACCGUACACCGAUGAUGCAAAGCUGUACCAAAAAGGUAUAGCGGAAUCACCGUUAAUAAUUUCACCUAUUCACAUAAAGGAGUACCUUUGGUCAAACUCUAUUCAAACUAAGUCAACAGUCAACUGGUCAGAGGUCAAAGUCAAUUGGGCUUUGAAUUGGGUUGGGCUGAAAAGGGCCUUAAAGGUUUUGAGGAAAAGGGCUUUCAGCCCCUUAACAGAAAAUGGCCCAAAGGGCCCUAAAUUCCUAAAACAGAAAAUAAAAUAAAUAACCUUAAAAGGUUUUUGGGUUGGGUCAUGGGCCACAUGCCCUAAACAUAAACGGCCCGAGGGCCUUUGGGUCCUAAAACAAUAACAAUUAAAUUAAAUUAAAAAAAAUAAUUAAAAGGAUAUGGGUUAGGAUUUGGGCUUCCCCACCACACGGGCCUAAGGCCCUCUUGCUACAGGAACCGGCCUGGAAGGCCUGGCCUCACCGGAGCACCACCACCGGAGCUUCACAGCUCCGGCCGACUUCCACACACAACCCUAGACUUCGAUCUAGGUACCAAAACGAAGAGCAAGACGAGGGGAGAAUUUCUAUACCUUCCUUUCGUCGUGGAACGACCGGAGAUGGCCGGAAUAACCCCCGAGGUCGCCGGAGUUGGGUGUGCUUACACCCGGCUUCGAUUUCGUCCUAUAACCUCCAAAAAUCACGAAUUAACUCCAAUUAAACCUCAAUCUCGCAAGAAUCAAGGACGAAAAGAGAGAAUUAGGGGCUUACCUAACCGGAGAUUGAAAAUCUCGCCGGAGCUCCUUUUCCGGUUCUCUGGGGUCGCGGGAACGAGAGGGAGAGAGAGAGAGAGCAGGACGCGGUGAUGAAGGGUGAUGGGCUUCCUCGCGUGGGGAGAUGGGUGCGUGCGUGUGUGCGCGGUGCAGAGAAGAGGGAGAGAAGUGAGAGAUGAGAGAGAGCCGAGAGGGAGAGACAUGAAGAAAGAAAAGAAAAACAAAAAAAAGAAGAAGAAAGAAGGGAGUUCACGGGGGGGAAAGAGAGAAGAAAGAGAAAUUAGUUGGGGGGCUGCCACGUGGCAGAUUUAGAAAGAAAAGGGAUCCAAUGCUUUGGAUCCUGAUUUGGUAGACAAAAAAGAUGAAAUUGAUAUAUUUAAAACAUUUAGGGGUAAUUAAAAACAUAAAUCUUUAUAAUUAGGGGGCAGGUGUUACAAUCUUCCCCCCUUAUAAAAAUUUCGUCCCCGAAAUUUAAAAUUACUACUAAACUGAAAUACUCUAAAAUAGUAAGAAGAAUAUAUAUAUAUAUAUAUAUAUAUAUAUAUAUAUAUAUAUAUAAAGAGAAAUCUAGUGAGAGUGGGUGCAUCAAAGAGAAUAUGUCACACCGUCGCGAGCGGGUUGCAAAAUCCUCUAUCAUGCCUCCAAACUCUUACUUUCAUCCCCAUCAGUGUAAAAAUAGAAAACAUACUUUAAUAAGAUAUAAGGUCAAAAACAUAUAUUGACGUAAGGUCAAAAAUAAGUACAUAAAAUACGAUAACGUCAAAAUAGAGAUAUACUAACAUAUAGGUCGAAAACUCGAGCUGAACUUAAAAUUGAAAAUGGAAAACACUUUCCUCUAAACAUUUGUAACAACAAAAACAAAUAACUAAAGUAAAGGAAGUUAAAAUACUUAUACUGAAAACCAAAACUGAAAAUGGAAAUGGGUCUCGCCCAAGAAUUCGUAACUUCACACUCCGAGAAAAGAUGUCUUUGGGUCGAGCCCCAAGAAUAUCAAUUCUUAAUCUGCAUCAGCUGCUGUAGACGAAUCUUCUUGUCCACUUGCUUAACGAACCCAACGAAUAAGUUAUCGAUACAACAGUCGGCCGCCCGUGAUAUCGAUCAUAUAUUUGUUGUCUCGAUAAGCAAGCAGUAAUUUCCUGAUGGUGCACAAUUUCACAUGUCGUAAAUUCGAUCCUCCGAAUACAAGCUCGCACAACUCCUCUAACAACCAAUGUUGCAUGUAGCAACUUUCGUACCAUGCCGCAACAAGUGCCAUACUCAAACCGAACAAAAUACGAACUGUCGUCGUAAAACUUUAUCCAGCACCAAGCAUCCUAUCCUCCUCAGUUCUUCCAAAUGUGACCAACUACUCCAGAGUAUCACUAGUAAAGAACCCAUUUGAAAAUUGUACCUUGGGAUUCAAGAGAAGUGGCUACCAUGUUAGUAAUAGACCCAAAAGCUCGAACCAAGCAAGCAGAAAACGAGAAGUCAUCUUCCUCAACACGCAGUAUCUCUUGGGAGUUGUUCUAAUGCCCAAUCCACUUCUCCAUUUUUGCUUAGUUGCAGACUUCUAGUCAAACAAAGUCAAAGUUGGAGGAAAGAAGAAGGACUCUCAAGUGAUCAACGUAAAAACCCCAUAAGAGCACACCCCAUUCAAUAGAAGUUUAAAGAUCUUCCGAUUCUCACCUCAACAGCACUGUGGUGACAUUCCAGAGUGCACCAAACAGAUCUGCUAUAAGUGUUUCGACAACCACGUAUUCAUAACAAUAAGGUUCAGAAGUGAAGCAGUGGAAAUAUACGUUGAGACGAACACAUAUCAUCAUAAAAAAGGUCUACCAGAGUAAGAUAUGAUAGUUAUGAAUGGUAGCAACAUAAUGAGUGGUGACCAUUCAAUUCAGCAUGAAGAUAGUGAUGCAAUAUGCUAUUCAUCUGCACCACAACCUUUCACCAGUAUCUUACCAAAAGACGACUCAAACUUCACAUCCUCGAGGAACUCUUUCUGGUAAGUCUGGUAAGCUUGUCAAAAUAUUAUGCUCCCAACAUUCCUGCCCAAAUCGAUGAAAAUUGAGCGCACACUUCCGCCAAAUCGAUCAAUCGUGAAUUCCUCAUUGAUUGAGCGAGAAACCAUGUCGAGAAGGCUAAAAGAACACUCAAGAAUUUGAGAGUCAAAACAAGUUUAUUAAAACUGGAGCACAAGAUAUUGCGAUUUGAACGAGAAACCAUGCCGAGAACAAACGUUUUUUUUUUUUUACACCCUCCGUAUAAUAUCCCGGCAUGAUCUGGUUCACAUUGAGAAACAAACAAGUGAAGGAAAAUGAAGAUGCAGAAAUAGAAGUCACUGUUUAUGAUUAUUUGGCUAAUCAUCACCAUAAGGUUGACGGGUUUCUUAGCCAAAAGGGAAACAGGUCUAAGCUCAAAGAAUAGUUAACAACUGCUUAUAAGAUUUGACGAGGCCAAAGACAUUUCGAGAUUCACAAUACUUUGUGAGAGCUGUUUCAAAGUUCAUAAAUUAAACAUAGAACCUUCGAAUCAACAGAAUGACGAAGAAGAAAGAUACAAAGCAGCCUGCGUACGCAUGCAGUGACACGAUUGGCUACCUUAAAGUGAUGCCCGUGAGCAAACCAAAGCUCAAUGAGUCUAGAGAAUUUUAUAGCAAAGCUCGAUCUUCAUACAAUGAUGAAUAUGGUAGAGUAUCAAGCCAUUACGCUGAAAAUUACAAGGUUAAACAGUUAGUGGACAAGAGCACUAGUCAGUUGGGCCACAAGCAAGAGGCUAAGUUCACCUUUACGUAAAAGUGCGUGGACAAGGAGUUAGGGUUUACCGCCGAGUACCAGACCCCGGUGAAAUUCAAGGAGUCUAAUUAUCCAAACAAGACUGGAUCUUCAUCAUCCAAGUCCAACUACCAUAACAACAAGAAUUGUAACUCCAUUUAGGGAAAUUGAUGGGAAUAGCAUCUGCUACCGAGGAGUUUCCCAAGAAAAGUAAUUAAUGCGAACGAAGUCAACACUCAAAGAAUUUGGUAUGAAACUGACGGUCAAAGGUUAAUGAACUUGAUUUCGUCAUUGGAAUAAGCAAGAAGGUUAUCAAUAGAACAAUCGACAAAGAUUCAUUCUAAAGAUUCACACGAAUGUCCUCAAUGGAAACGAGUCUGAGAACAUUGAUUUUCUCCCAAGAUUUCGAUGCAAAGUCGACUCCGCCCGCAAUUCCUAAGGAACGCAUGUUGCAGAGUGGCAUCGCCAUUUCGAAUUUACAACUAGUCUUGACCAGACUUCCUCAAACUGAGAUUUCUAAAACACGUCGCUUCCAAGUAACACCGACUAUGCCCGUCAUUCCCAAGGAAUGCACGUCGUAGAGUAUCAAUCUGAAGCUGAAAGUCGUCCAACAAAUCAAACACGUCACCGAUGAGGCACAAUCCCGACACGAAUUUUCUUAUAUUUCAACCGGAAUGUGACAAUUCAAACAGAGAAAAGCUCGCACAACUGUGCCGAAUGACAUCAAAUCUAGAAGUCCUGACAUCCAAAUGAUGUCAAAACCGACACACUACUUUAGUAAGAGAAUAUCCUAAGUAUGCUCUGAACAAACCACGCUCUGAUACCAAUCUGACACGCCCCGAUCCCGAUAUUUCCCCGAAUACUAGGAUAGGCACGUGCUGGCCGACACCCGAGGGUGACGAAAGCCAUUUAUUAAGUGCAAAUGCUGAAAACAACGGAUAUAUAAGACUUAUAAAUAUAAAAGAAUAAAGAAUAUGCAUUUAAGGAACGUGUUCAGAGCAUACAACUAACUAGAACAUCGAAAGAAAUAAUAUAAAUUGGAGUGAACAAAAGAAUGGAUCCUACACCGAAAGGACUCGAAGAUGCUGAAGCGGAAGUGCCUGGAUGUCAGGAUUGUACGCCUCGAUUCUAAGUCCUGAAGGGGGCGCAAAACAAACAUGAGUGGACCAAGUUGAUAUAUAUAUAGUAAAACAGUUAUCAACGUACUAACCCCCAGGUUUUAUGAAAACACAUAUAUAAUGAUAAACAUAGGUUUUCCAAAACCUAGCAUGCCGUGCAAUAUCUCAAAUCAUAACUUGUAUAUAUAAUAAUCACUAGUGAAUUGUCCGAUAACCCCCAGGCCCCAUGCCGACUCCCCGUCUCUGAGCAGACAAUCAGAGGAAAAUACACUUCAGGCCCCAUGCCGGCUCCCCAUCCCUGUGCUAAAUAGCCAAAGGAAACAUACUCCAGGCCCUAUGCCAACACCAAACCGUCGCCCGGGACGGACCGGAAUCUAUCCCUACGUCCCGUAGCGGAAAGGACCACUAGGUAAGUACAAAACCACUGAACAUAUUUAUAUUGAAAAACAACUUCGUAGUAUAAAGUCAUCCAUCAUCUAUACUACAAAGAGGUGUUCUAAACAUGUUCUAAAUAUCAUAUCGUCAUCCAUCGGAUAUUCUAUAAGGACAUGGGUUAUAGGAAAAAUAGUAAUAAUUCAAUCUAGCCUCAGUAAGCAUACUAUCUCAUAAAGUACUUCAUAAAACAUAAGUAUUAAAUCAUGCUUUUCAUGUAUGCAUUUCUAUUAAUAAAACAUGCAUUUUUAGAAGGGGUCCACUCACCGUACACCGAUGAUGCAAAGCUGUACCAAAAAG